GCCUAACGGCUGAACUGGCAACUUGGAGAAGUGGCAAGUCUUCCAGUAUGGGGAGCAAAACAGCUAUGGGUCAAGUCCGAUAUCUUUAGGAGAAGUCUUAUUGUGAGGGCGAGUUAUAUAACACCGUAGGACUGGCCGUCCCAUAUGAAAAGAUUAUAUUAGAAUUGAAUGAAGCUUUGUUUAUAUAUUGAUAAUGACAGUAUAUAUAUCGUGUCUUGACUAAUUGCGUGCCAGCAGUCGCGGUAAUACGUAAGAGACUAGUGUUAUUCAUCUUAAUUAGGUUUAAAGGGUACCCAGACGGUCAAUAUAGCUUAUAAAAUGUUAGUACUUGACUAGAGUUUUAUGUAAGAGGGCAGUACUUGAGGAGGAGAGAUGAAAUUUCGUGAUACCAAAGGGACUCUGUAAAGGCGAAGGCAGCCCUCUAUGUAAAAACUGACGUUGAAGGACGAAGGCACAGAGAACAAACAGGAUUAGAUACCCAAGUAGUCUUUGCAGUAAAUGAUGAAUGCCAUAGGUUAGAUUGGUCAAUUAUAGUCUAGGGUUAGUCUAGCAAACUAAUACCUAUACUAUUAUACCUAAUAUCUGGUCUAUAAAUGAAAGUGUAAGCAUUUCACCUCAAGAGUAAUGUGGCAACGCAGGAACUGAAAUCACUAG
This 654-nucleotide ribosomal RNA is filed under the name Fusarium oxysporum. RNAcentral's name for it is "SSU rRNA". It matches the Rfam family "Bacterial small subunit ribosomal RNA", at positions 291 to 912 of the family's 1533-position model. The record is from RNAcentral. Lineage: Eukaryota; Fungi; Ascomycota; Sordariomycetes; Hypocreales; Nectriaceae.